Molecule: ribosomal RNA, 504 nt
Filed under: uncultured bacterium
Lineage: Bacteria
Description: bacterial SSU rRNA
Rfam family: Bacterial small subunit ribosomal RNA
Source: RNAcentral
GAUGAACGCUAGCGACAGGCCUAACACAUGCAAGUCGAGGGGCAGCACAUGAGUAGCAAUACGAUGGUGGCGACCGGCGCACGGGUGAGUAACACGUAUGCAACCUGCCUGUAAGAGGGGAAUAACCCGGAGAAAUUCGGACUAAUACCGCAUAAUACCACGAGACUGCAUGGUUUUGUGGUUAAACAUUUAUGGCUUACAGAUGGGCAUGCGUAUGAUUAGAUAGUUGGUAGGGUAACGGCCUACCAAGUCUACGAUCAUUAGGGGUUCUGAGAGGAAGGUCCCCCACACUGGUACUGAGACACGGACCAGACUCCUACGGGAGGCAGCGGUGAGGAAUAUUGGUCAAUGGGCGAGAGCCUGAACCAGCCAAGUCGCGUGAAGGAAGAAGGUUCUAUGGAUUGUAAACUUCUUUUGCAGGGGAAUAAAGGACGGUACGUGUACUGUUUUGUAUGUACCUUGCGAAUAAGGAUCGGCUAACUCCGUGCCAGCAGCCGCGGUAAA